UAUCUUUGCAAAUCGAAAGAUACUCUUUCGUUUACAUAACAAUCAUUUACAACAAUAUUAGCAUG
Molecule: non-coding RNA, 65 nt
Filed under: unclassified sequences
Description: S15-Flavobacteria ribosomal protein leader
Rfam family: S15-Flavobacteria ribosomal protein leader
Source: RNAcentral